CUACGGGCUGCUGCAGUCGAGAAUCUUCCGCAAUGGACGAAAGUCUGACGGAGCGACGCCGCGUGCGGGAUGAAGGCCUUCGGGUUGUAAACCGCUGUCAGUGGGGAGGAAAUGCAUCAGGGUUCUCCCUGGUGUUUGACCGAUCCGCAGAGGAAGCGCAGGCUAAGUUCGUGCCAGCAGCCGCGGUAACACGAACGGCGCGAACGUUAUUCGGAAUCACUGGGCUUAAAGAGUUCGUAGGCGGCCUUUCAAGUCGGGGGUGAAAUCCCUCGGCUCAACCGAGGAAUUGCGCCUGAUACUGUUGGGCUUGAGGGGGAUAGGGGUGAGCGGAACUGAUGGUGGAGCGGUGAAAUGCGUUGAUAUCAUCAGGAACACCGGUGGCGAAGGCGGCUCACUGGAUCUCUUCUGACGCUGAGGAACGAAAGCUAGGGGAGCGAACGGGAUUAGAUACCCCAGUAGUC
This 461-nucleotide ribosomal RNA is filed under the name uncultured bacterium. Its description in RNAcentral is "partial 16S ribosomal RNA". It matches the Rfam family "Bacterial small subunit ribosomal RNA", at positions 339 to 795 of the family's 1533-position model. The record is from RNAcentral.